GGGUUCUACCCUACAUCAAUAAGUGCGAAUACAUUCGCCGUGGCCUUGUGGAAAGACGUGCUUGAUCUUACUACCUAGCUUCCUGCAAUCCGAUAUAUAAUCACACAAAUUAGUUAACAAAAUUUGAUAAACAAAUCCAAGAGCAAUGGAGAAUUCUACAACUCACAAAUAAUGGAAAUGUCCCAAUGGAAAAAGAACAAUACAAACUAUGCUUCCUCCGUUCAUUCAUGAUGAGUUAAUGAUAUGUGCAAUCCAGUUCAAGAUAGUGCAUCAAUGGAGACUCACAUGUGCUUCACCCUCGUCACCUACCUGGGCACGUGGUGCUGACUUGCUGAGAUGCAAUAUCGCCUUGAAAUCCAUCCUCCUGUAUGGCGUCAGGGCCAGCUCAUGUGGCCUUGUUUCCAAUCCGAACCAGCGCUCAGGCGAGGUGGAUCGGAGGACAAAACCGCAGGUGUGGCCGGGGCCAAUCCUGGCAGAGUUAAGGAUGGCGAAGAGGGAGGUUACGACAUCGUCGAUGAGCAGGUUAGUGGGUCAGUUUCAGCGCAGCCGCCAGACGAGAUGGCGCACCGGUGAGUUGGAACGGAGGCCGCAGAUGGGUGGAUCUGACUCAAACUCGUGCUGGGGGCGAGAGGAGAGGUGACCAGGGGCAUGUCGAGCAUGGCGAUGUUCACGGGAUGGUAGGAGAGAUGGGAGAGUUAAUUCGGGCGAUUAAUGUAAGGAGAGAUUA
This 727-nucleotide long non-coding RNA is filed under the name Triticum aestivum (bread wheat). RNAcentral's name for it is "long non-coding RNA (TAES_LNC003136)". Lineage: Eukaryota; Viridiplantae; Streptophyta; Magnoliopsida; Poales; Poaceae. The record is from RNAcentral.